CCUACGGGAGGCAGCAGUGAGGAAUAUUGGUCAAUGGACGAGAGUCUGAACCAGCCAAGUAGCGUGAAGGAUGACUGCCCUAUGGGUUGUAAACUUCUUUUAUAUGGGAAUAAAAUGUUCCACGUGUGGGAUUUUGUAUGUACCAUAUGAAUAAGGAUCGGCUAACGCCGUGCCAGCAGCCGCUGUAAUACGGAGGAUCCGAGCGUUAUCCGGAUUUAUUGGGUUUAAAGGGAGCGUAGGUGGAUUGUUAAGUCAGUUGUGAAAGUUUGCGGCUCAACCGUAAAAUUGCAGUUGAAACUGGCAGUCUGGAGUACAGUAGAGGUGGGCGGAAUUCGUGGUGUAGCGGUGAAAUGCUUAGAUAUCACGAAGAACUCCGAUUGCGAAGGCAGCUCACUGGACUGCAACUGACACUGAGGCUCGAAAGUGUGGGUAUCAAACAGGAUUAGAUACCCCAGUAGUC
This 460-nucleotide ribosomal RNA is filed under the name uncultured bacterium. RNAcentral describes it as "partial 16S ribosomal RNA". It matches the Rfam family "Bacterial small subunit ribosomal RNA", at positions 338 to 795 of the family's 1533-position model. The record is from RNAcentral.